GACUAUGCUUGGAUCCAAGCCACAGUCACUCAUUUCCUUCUCGGGUGUUUUAGCUACAUCCUUCCUGCAGUCUGUCUGUGCCUGAGGUUCCCAGGCAUUUGCCAAAGCUUUAUUGAAGUUGAUUGUUGCAUAUGUAGACAAGAAAUGCAGGAUCAAAGUACAUUUUGAAAAGUACAUUCUGGAGAAGAUAUAUGUGCUGAAAGAUUUACCAAUGACCAGAUGUGACUACAUGACUAGAGAUACUAGAGUCUGGUGAAAGUAGAUGGUCUCUUGCAAGAAGGCUUUUCUGAAUCUGUGAUGGAUAAAUUAUAUCUCAUUAUGGCUCUAACAACACCUCCCAUCAAUCAUCAGUGCUUCCAGCUGGUAUGAACCAUAUUGUUCAAUUCAGUAUUGUCUUUGUAUUUGGUCCUUUCUGCUGACUUGCAAGAAAACUGAUACCAACUGAGGUCUGCUUCUUCGACAUUCAGCUCAAAUAUCCAAUGAGCAGUCAACUGUUGCUCACUACCACGUCUAUUUCACUUUAUCUGAAUAAUGUGCUUUAACUGAAUAAUGUGCUUUAACUGAAACAGAAACAUAGUAAGGAGUCUCCAAAUGCAGCAUCAAUGAGCAACUAAUUUCAGCAGCAAUAAAAUACACAGAGAUGAAACUGUAA
Long non-coding RNA from Gallus gallus (chicken), 652 nucleotides. RefSeq lists it as uncharacterized. The record is from RefSeq and is a predicted model, not a curated record. NCBI's taxonomy places the organism in Eukaryota, Metazoa, Chordata, Aves, Galliformes, Phasianidae. The transcript has 4 exons.